RNAcentral lists this ribosomal RNA (282 nucleotides) under Triticum aestivum (bread wheat). RNAcentral describes it as "partial small subunit ribosomal RNA". Lineage: Eukaryota; Viridiplantae; Streptophyta; Magnoliopsida; Poales; Poaceae. The record is from RNAcentral.
AUGAGCAAGGCCUUGUCUCCACGUUAUCAAGGGAUGUCAACUUAUGAAAAGGAGUUCUUGGCAGUCAUUGUGGCAGUGGAUCAGUGGAGACUGUACCUACAACAUGCAGAGUUUGUGAUAUAUACAGACCAGAAGAGUCUAGUUCAUCUAGAGCAGCAAAGACUUACCACCUGUUGGCAACAAAAAGCUUUCACUAAGCUCUUGGGCCUUCAGUACAAAAUCAGAUACAAAAAAGGCUUGGAAAACACGGCCACGGAUGCUCUGUCUCGUGCGAAACCGUAA